UAUCCAACUGGCAAUUGGACAUCAAUCUGCUGCUAGGUUGACAGACGUCUUGAGACGUCUGUCAAUCUGGUCAAGGUUUUAUCUUAUGAAUUGUCCAAACGCCAAACUGGUAAACCGAAAUGGUCCUAGUUGCCAUGGAUUACACACAGACUGGAUGUCCUGCCAAGUGGUGGAACAAGCAGCAUUCAGACUAUGUGCCAUCAAAAUGUGAAUUCUCUGCAAUUCACAUGUCUGUUGGUGACUCACAGAAAAACCUUUGAAGAUACCAUAGGGCACAAAAGAUUUCCCAGAGGUCCUCCAACACUGACCAUGUGUCAGUUGAUUCCCUAGUUGAAACAACACAAGGUGCUGGGAAAUGUGAGCAAGUGGAAGACACAUUCAACUUCGGUGAAAUAGUUCCAGAUGGUGAAGAUGCUAGCACAAAUACAGAUGGUGGAUGUUCCGCGGUAACAGAAGAUGUGAAGCGCCUGAGAAUCAUCAUCAACAUGUUCCGGGACGCCAAUGAACGUCUGACUGAAGAAAAUGCGGCUCUUAAAGCAGAGAAUGAGGAGCUGAAGAAAUCAUGUAAAGUAGACCCAUAUGAUGAAUGGCGUGGGAAUGAGGAGAAGCUCAAGUUUUAUACUGGUGUCCCAUCUCUUGCAGCAUUUCUGUUCCUUUUACGCAUCAUGCACAUCUCUGGCUUCAGUAAGUUUCGUGGCUUAUCAGCUGAAUCCACGUUACUGGCCGUAUUACUUAAACUCAAGCUAGGUUUAAGCAAUUAAGACAUUGCUUACGCCCCAUAGGGGCACCGGCUUCGGCCGGUGUAGGGGACUAGCGCCCCCUCGGGUCCCAGCUCCGGUAACGGGUGGACAGCGCAAACUGGUCCUCUCAGGGCGUAGCGACCCUGCCGGUACGUGAGCUCCUGCUCCUUGUCUCGCCCGCUUCCUCCACAUUACCCGCACUCCCGCAUCCGGCCCUAUCACAACUCCUCAUCCGCGUUUUACCGGGGUCGCCGUGCCCCCUCGCCCACGUCUCCGGGUUGAUCGGAUCCUGGUGGCUGAGGGGCGCGGCGUGCGGGUCAGUCACGGCAUGACGGCCGUGUCACGUGACUGUGACAACGGCCGCACAUGACGGCCGUUCAGUUCGUGGGACUUCUGAGGUCGUUUGGCCUGUCGGUUGUUCCCUCGGUCCGAACGCCCGACUCCCA
Long non-coding RNA from Pollicipes pollicipes, 1186 nucleotides. RefSeq lists it as uncharacterized. The record is from RefSeq and is a predicted model, not a curated record. NCBI's taxonomy places the organism in Eukaryota, Metazoa, Arthropoda, Thecostraca, Pollicipedomorpha, Pollicipedidae. The transcript is spliced from 3 exons.